RNAcentral lists this small RNA (3224 nucleotides) under Pan troglodytes (chimpanzee). RNAcentral's name for it is "processed transcript". Lineage: Eukaryota; Metazoa; Chordata; Mammalia; Primates; Hominidae. The record is from RNAcentral.
AAUAGAACUGGGAGCUGAGCCUGGAGCGGUUCUGGGCUUUUGGUUCUCUGCAUCAACACAGCCAGCAUGCCUAUGAUUUCUGUGCUGGGCAAAAUGUUUCUGUGGCAGCGUGAAGGGCCUGGAGGACGAUGGACUUGUCAGACAAGUCGCAGAGUGUCCUCGGACCCCGCUUGGGCUGUGGAGUGGAUCGAACUUCCUCGGGGUCUCUCUCUAUCCUCUUUGGGAUCUGCUCGAACCCUCCGAGGCUGGAGCAGGUCCUCCCGCCCUUCCUCGGUGGACAGUCAGGACUUGCCAGAGGUGCUGGGCCCCUGGUGGUGGGGGGAAGGAGGACGGCAUCCAUUUAAAGGGGAUCUGCAGCCCCCACCCACGCCUGGCCAGCCAGCUUCUGGCUCCCUUUUCCGGCGAGCGGAGGCGCUAUCCGGCGGCGGGCCGGGAGGCCGCCCCCGUGCCGGUCUGCUCUGCUCGGCGCUGUGCCAGCAGGCGGAGAGCUCGCGCCUUCCGCGCUGACGUCAGCGCAUCCCGGGCCGUAUCCCGGGAGACCCUGUUGCGUGGUGAUGGGUUGCCAGGGAGACAUACACCUUUUCUCUGGGCCUGGGCCGCAGCUGCGCGGAGCGCCGGGCACGGAUGGCGGCGGCUGAGGGGAGCGAAGCGAGGGAGGGAGAGCAAGCUAAGAAACACCCAGCAGGUGCUCCCCCGCCGAGGCCUGGCUGGAGGCUACUGGCGCCACCCUGGGGGCCCUGUCAGCCAGGUACCCAAGGGGAGGGAUCGAGGGUGGGCCUCAGGUCAAGGGGCAGUGUUGGUUGGCUGCCCUUGUGAGGGACGGGAACGUGAUAGAAGAGAGCUGGGCAAUGCCGGGGAGGGAUGUGUGCCUCCAACUUCAUUAAGUGAGGGCAACAUUUGCUGGGGCUUGUCAGGGAGCCCUGAGCCAGGUACAGGGUGGAGUUAGGAACUUAGGUGCAUCAAACUUAGGCCUUGCCAUCCUGAGCUCCCUCAGGAGACAGACAAGGGCAAUGAUGGGGGCGGGGUGUGUCAGAGAAAAGAAGAGGCUGUCGGCUGAAAGCAUUAUUUGCAAGUGACACUUGAGAUGGGCCUUAAGUGAUGGCAAGCAUUUUUUCACGUAAGGAUGGCAUUCUUGGCCCAGAGGAAAGCUGAGUUCCUUUUCCUGGAGGCAGGCGGGCUGCUUGCUGACAGCGAUUGGUGGAGAAGGGUUUUCGUUUUUUGUUAUUUAUUUUUAUUUAUUUAUUUUUUUGAGACGGAGUUUCGCUCUUGUUGCCCAGGCUGGAAUGCAAUGGUGCGAUCUCGGCUCACCGCAGCCUCUGCCUCCCGGGUUCAAGCGAUUAUCCUGCCUCAGCCUCCAGAGUAGCUGGGAUUACAGGCAUGCGCUGCCACGCCCGGCUGAUUUUGUAUUUUUAGUAGAGGCGGGGUUUCACCAUGUUGGCCAGGCUGGUCUCCAACUCCCGACCUCAGGUGAUCCGCCUGCUUCGGCCUCCCAAAAUGCUGGGAUUACAGGCGUGAGCCACUGCGCCCGGCCUGAGAAGGGGGGUUUUAUUGGGCAGAGGAGAUCAGCAGUGGAUUCAAAGGAGGCUUGGAAGGAGGCAAGGGUGUCACAGAGUGGGAUCCUUCAGGGCCUGGGUAUGAUGCCUGCACUAACCUCACUGGACAGUAGCGUAGGCUAGACAAGAUUUUAGAGAUGUGUUGUGACCAGCUGCACUCCAGGAAAACUGUUUACAUUAUAUCUUACCUCAUUCAUCCAGCCUUUGCAUUUUUGUUUGCUUGUUUUUGAGACAGAGUCUUUUUCUGUCGCCCAGGCUGGAGUGCAGUGGCACAAUCUUGGCUCACUGCAAUCUCCGCCUCCUGGGUUCAAGCAAUUCUCCUGCCUCAGCCUCCUGAGUAGCUGGGAUAACAGGCACCCGCCACCAUGCCCUGCCCAUUUUAAAAAUUAUUUUUAGUGGAGAUGGGGUUUCACCAUGUUGGCCUGGCUGGUCUCAAACUCCUGACCUCAGAUGAUCUACCCACCUUGGCCCCUUGGCCUCCCAAAGUGCUGGAAUUACAGGCGUGAGCCACCACGCCUGGCCCAGCCUAUGCAUUUUUUUUUUUUUUUUUGAGACGGAGUCUUGCACUGUAGCCUAAGCUGGAGUGCAGUGGUGCGAUCUCGGCUCACCGCAACCUCCGCCUCCCGGGUCCUGGUUCAAGCAAUUUUCUUGCCUCAGCCUCCUGAGUAGCUGGGAUUACAGGAACGUGCCACCAUGCCCAGCUAAUUUUUGUAUUUUUAAUAGAGACGGGGUUUCACCAUGUUGGCCAGGCUGGCCUUGAACUCGUGACCUCAUGAUCCGCUCACCUCGGCCUCCCAAAGUGCUGGGAUUACAGGCAUGAGCCACUGACGCCCGGCCAGCCUAUGCAUUUUUAAGAAAUUAUUCUGUAUUAGGUGCUGUGCUAAACAUUGGGCACUACAGUGACCAAAACAGACUGAAUUCCCCAAGAGCCAAAGACCAGUGAGGGAGACCAACAAGAAACAGGAAAUGCAAAAGAGACCAUUAUUACUCACUAUGACUAAGGGCCACAAAUGGGGUACGUUGAUGGAGAGUGAUUUGUUAGAGACUACAGAGGGAGGACAGACUACCAAGAGGGGGGCCAGGAAAGCUCCUCUGACGAGGUGGUAUUUCAGCCCAAACUGGAAGAAUGAGAAAGAGCUAGCCAGCCAUCAGAAUAGUCCAGAAGAGAUGGGGAGCACUACACUCACUACACUUUGGCCUGAGAAAACAGCAUGGGAUUGGAGGAGGCUGGGGGAACACCACUUCUGCCAACCUGGGCAGGAGGCAUUGAGGGCUUGAGAAAGGGCAAUGGCAGUAGCAGUAGAAAGGACAGGGUAGGAGCAGGGACUUUGCAGGUGGAAUCAUUAGGUCUUAUCAACAGAUAUGGGUAAGCAAAGCCAGGGGAGAAUUGAUGGUAAUGCUGAGGUUUGGAGCCAGGCUAGAUGGGACAGUGGUGGGUGAUGCAAAGGAAAGAGGUCAGGAAGCAGGGCCAGACGUGGGGAGAAGGUGUGGGGGUUUGGUUUCCAUCUUGCCGAGUCUGCCGGAAUGUGGAUGGGAAGACCAAGAGGAGGAGCAAGGGGCAGAGGGGAAGGGAAUCCUAAAGAAGUCCUGGAUGCCACACUCUUCUUCCUUCCUCCUCUUCCCUCUCCUCAGAGGUCCCACUCGUGGUUCUUCAUUUCCUGCCCUGCCUCC